Molecule: ribosomal RNA, 272 nt
Filed under: Pseudomonas sp. JV449
Lineage: Bacteria; Pseudomonadati; Pseudomonadota; Gammaproteobacteria; Pseudomonadales; Pseudomonadaceae
Description: partial 16S ribosomal RNA
Rfam family: Bacterial small subunit ribosomal RNA
Source: RNAcentral
GAACUGAAGAGUUUGAUCAUGGCUCAGAUUGAACGCUGGCGGCAGGCCUAACACAUGCAAGUCGAGCGGUAGAGAGAAGCUUGCUUCUCUUGAGAGCGGCGGACGGGUGAGUAAUGCCUAGGAAUCUGCCUGGUAGUGGGGGAUAACGUUCGGAAACGGACGCUAAUACCGCAUACGUCCUACGGGAGAAAGCAGGGGACCUUCGGGCCUUGCGCUAUCAGAUGAGCCUAGGUCGGAUUAGCUAGUUGGUGGGGUAAUGGCUCACCAAGGCG